This 395-nucleotide ribosomal RNA is filed under the name uncultured bacterium. RNAcentral describes it as "bacterial SSU rRNA". It matches the Rfam family "Bacterial small subunit ribosomal RNA", at positions 28 to 417 of the family's 1533-position model. The record is from RNAcentral.
GACGAACGCUGGCGGCGUGCUUAACACAUGCAAGUGGAGCGACGAAACGGGCUUCGGCUCGUGGCAAAGCCGCGAACGGGUGAGUAACACGUGGGUAACCUGCCCCGAUGACCGGGACAACCCGAGGAAACUCGGGCUAAUACCGGAUGUGGUCCUUCCACACAAGUGGAAUGACCAAAGGUAGCUUCGGCCUCCGCAUCGGGAUGGGCCCGCGGCGCAUUAGCUUGUUGGUGGGGUAAUGGCCACCAAGGCGACGAUGCGUAGCUGGUCUGAGAGGACGAUCAGCCACACUGGGACUGAGACACGGCCCAGACUCCUACGGGAGGCAGCAGUGGGGAAUCUUGCGCAAUGCGCGAAAGCGUGACGCAGCAACGCCGCGUGAGGGAAGACGGCCU